CAUUAAGAAGCUUUCAUGUGUAAGCAACAGCCUUU
This 35-nucleotide transfer RNA is filed under the name Dendrotriton sanctibarbarus. RNAcentral describes it as "partial tRNA-Lys". Lineage: Eukaryota; Metazoa; Chordata; Amphibia; Caudata; Plethodontidae. The record is from RNAcentral.